RNAcentral lists this ribosomal RNA (504 nucleotides) under Hypocreales sp. IMI 331569R. RNAcentral describes it as "SSU rRNA". It matches the Rfam family "Bacterial small subunit ribosomal RNA", at positions 352 to 906 of the family's 1533-position model. Lineage: Eukaryota; Fungi; Ascomycota; Sordariomycetes; Hypocreales. The record is from RNAcentral.
AAGUGUUAAGUCUUUAAUUUUGAAACCUUAGCUUACUUUGUAAGUUAAGGCUAGAUUUAAACAAAAAUUAAAGAUUAAAUUAGUAUUGAAUGAAACUUUGUUUAUAUAUCGAUAAUGACGAUAUAUAUAUUAUGUCUUGACCAAUUACGUGCCAGCAGUCGCGGUAAUACGUAAGAGACUAGUGUUAUUCAUCUUAAUUAGGUUUAAAGGGUACUCAAACGGUCUCUUCGCAUAAAAAGACUAGAGUUAUAUAGAAGAAGGUAGUACCUUAAGUGUAGAGAUUAUAUUUGGUCAUACUCGAGGGACUUAGAAAAGGCGUAGGCAACCUUCUAAGCAAUAACUGACGUUGAAGGACGAAGGCAUAGGUCACGAACAGGAUUAGAUACCCAAGUCCUGCUUUGCAGUCCAAUGAUGAAUGCCCUUGGGUUAGAUAAAAAUUUUGGUCUUUGAAUGAAAGUGUCGGCAUUCGCCUCAAGAGUAAUGUGGCGGGGCAGGAUCUGUAGU